Molecule: ribosomal RNA, 1427 nt
Filed under: uncultured bacterium
Lineage: Bacteria
Description: bacterial SSU rRNA
Rfam family: Bacterial small subunit ribosomal RNA
Source: RNAcentral
GACGAACGCUGGCGGCGUGCCUAACACAUGCAAGUCGAACGGAGUCACACCCAACACUGCGCGUUGGACAGGAAGCGGAAAAGGAGACGAGCCGUCGUUCUCCGGCUGUAGGCUGUAGUACCAACAUGGAGUGUCCCAACACGGAGUGUUGGGUAUGACUUAGUGGCGGACGGGUGAGUAACGCGUGAGUAAUCUGCCCUUGAGUGGGGAAUAACACACGGAAACGUGUGCUAAUACCGCAUAAGAUAGUAGCAUGGCAUCAUGCAGCUAUCAAAGAUUUAUCGCUUAAGGAUGAGCUCGCGUCUGAUUAGCUUGUUGGUAAGGUAAUGGCUUACCAAGGCGACGAUCAGUAGCCGGACUGAGAGGUUGAACGGCCACAUUGGGACUGAGACACGGCCCAGACUCCUACGGGAGGCAGCAGUGGGGAAUAUUGGGCAAUGGGGGCAACCCUGACCCAGCAACGCCGCGUGAAGGAAGAAGGCUUUCGGGUUGUAAACUUCUUUUAUAGGGGAAGAAACUGACGGUACCCUAUGAAUAAGCCACGGCUAACUACGUGCCAGCAGCCGCGGUAAUACGUAGGUGGCGAGCGUUGUCCGGAUUUACUGGGUGUAAAGGGCGCGUAGGCGGGAUUGCAAGUUAGGCGUGAAAUGCCAAGGCUCAACCUUGGAGCUGCGCUUAAAACUGUGGUUCUUGAGUGAUGGAGAGGCAGGCGGAAUUCCCUGUGUAGCGGUGAAAUGCGUAGAUAUAGGGAGGAACACCAGUGGCGAAGGCGGUCUGCUGGACAUUAACUGACGCUGAGGCGCGAAAGCGUGGGGAGCAAACAGGAUUAGAUACCCUGGUAGUCCACGCCGUAAACGAUGGAUACUAGGUGUGGGGGGACUGACCCCUUCCGUGCCGGAGUUAACACAAUAAGUAUCCCACCUGGGGAGUACGGCCGCAAGGUUGAAACUCAAAGGAAUUGACGGGGGCCCGCACAAGCAGUGGAGUAUGUGGUUUAAUUCGAAGCAACGCGAAGAACCUUACCGGGGCUUGACAUCCAACUAACGAAGCAGAGAUGCAUAAGGUGCCCUUCGGGGAAAGUUGAGACAGGUGGUGCAUGGUUGUCGUCAGCUCGUGUCGUGAGAUGUUGGGUUAAGUCCCGCAACGAGCGCAACCCUUACGUUUAGUUGCUACGCAAGAGCACUCUAGACGGACUGCCGUUGACAAAACGGAGGAAGGCGGGGACGACGUCAAAUCAUCAUGCCCCUUAUGUCCCGGGCUACACACGUACUACAAUGGCGGUCAUACAACGGGCAGCAAACCCGCGAGGGUAAGCCAAUCCCUUAAAAGCCGCCUCAGUUCGGAUCGCAGGCUGCAACCCGCCUGCGUGAAGUCGGAAUUGCUAGUAAUCGCGGAUCAUCAUGCCGCGGUGAAUACGUUCCCGGGCC